RNAcentral lists this transfer RNA (87 nucleotides) under Streptomyces sp. NEAU-sy36. Its description in RNAcentral is "tRNA-Ser". It matches the Rfam family "tRNA". Rfam says of the family: Transfer RNA (tRNA) molecules are approximately 80 nucleotides in length. Lineage: Bacteria; Bacillati; Actinomycetota; Actinomycetes; Kitasatosporales; Streptomycetaceae. The record is from RNAcentral.
GGAGAGGUGCCCGGAGUGGUUGAUCGGGGACCGGCGAGAGGUCGGACCCUUCAAGGGUCCACGCAGGUUCGAAUCCUGCCCUCUCCG